This 90-nucleotide non-coding RNA is filed under the name unclassified sequences. RNAcentral's name for it is "PGK RNA". It matches the Rfam family "PGK RNA". From Rfam's summary of the family: mammalian gut metagenomes. Environment (Cow rumen (57)) The record is from RNAcentral.
UAGCAAUUUCUACCACUCUAAACUAUAUGAUCAUAUGAAGAGGAGAAACUUCAAGGUAGAAAUAUUGCACUAAAUACUGAUAAUAUUUAG